AGCAGCCGCGGUAAUUCCAGCUCCAAUAGCGUAUAUUAAAGUUGUUGCAGUUAAAAAGCUCGUAGUUGAAUUUCGGGACCAAUAUGUCGGUCGUGCUUCGGUACGUACUUGCAUUAUUGGUUUCUCCCUUCUGAGGAACCAUGAUGUCAUUAAUUUGGUGUCGUGGGAAAUCAGGACUGUUACUUUGAAAAAAUUAAGAGUGUUUAAAGACAGGCUCGCGCUUGAAUACAUUAGCAUGGAAUAAUGAAAUAGGACGUUUGAUUCUAUUUUGUUGGUUUUCUAGGAUCGACGUAAUGAUUAAUAGGGAUAGUUGGGGGCAUUAGUAUUCAAUUGUCAGAGGUGAAAUUCUUGGAUUUAUUGAAGACUAACUACUGCGAAAGCAUUUGCCAAGGAUGUUUUCAUUAAUCAAGAACGAAAGUUAGGGGAUCGAAGACGAUCAGAUACCGUCGUAGUCUUAACCAUAAACUAUGCCGACUAGGGAUCGGAUGAUGUUAUUUUUGAUGA
This 504-nucleotide ribosomal RNA is filed under the name uncultured Glomus. Its description in RNAcentral is "SSU rRNA". It matches the Rfam family "Eukaryotic small subunit ribosomal RNA", at positions 569 to 1074 of the family's 1831-position model. Lineage: Eukaryota; Fungi; Glomeromycota; Glomeromycetes; Glomerales; Glomeraceae. The record is from RNAcentral.